Molecule: non-coding RNA, 195 nt
Filed under: human gut metagenome
Source: RNAcentral
ACAACUGAUAACUCAAGGAGUGGAAUGACGGGGUAACGCCCUGAAACGCUCCCUCUGAUACUCCGGCUGGCGUUGGCUGUAAAGGUCAGGGUCAGAAGCUCGGUAAAGUCGGCGGAAGUCUGCCGUAAGGGUCAUAAGACCUACGAAAGCGCGGUGGAGGCACCGUGUGCAGGUGACACGCCGGGAGUCUAUAAA